Molecule: non-coding RNA, 74 nt
Organism: Podospora didyma
Lineage: Eukaryota; Fungi; Ascomycota; Sordariomycetes; Sordariales; Podosporaceae
Source: the annotation of a GenBank genome assembly
UCCUCCGUGGCGCAAUUGGCUAGCGCGUCAGACUGUUAAUCUGGAGGCUCCUGGUUCGACCCCAGGCGGAGGAG